GCACUGCUGACGAGUCCAAAACAAGACGAGACAGCUGUCCAGUGC
This 45-nucleotide non-coding RNA is filed under the name Echinostoma caproni. The record is from RNAcentral. Lineage: Eukaryota; Metazoa; Platyhelminthes; Trematoda; Plagiorchiida; Echinostomatidae.